GAGGCUGUAGCUCAAUGGCAGAGCGCUUGCCUAGCAUGCAUGAGGCACUGAGUUUGAUCCUCAGCACCAUCU
This 72-nucleotide transfer RNA is filed under the name Ictidomys tridecemlineatus (thirteen-lined ground squirrel). RNAcentral describes it as "Spermophilus tridecemlineatus (thirteen-lined ground squirrel) tRNA". It matches the Rfam family "tRNA". Rfam says of the family: Transfer RNA (tRNA) molecules are approximately 80 nucleotides in length. Their secondary structure includes four short double-helical elements and three loops (D, anti-codon, and T loops). Lineage: Eukaryota; Metazoa; Chordata; Mammalia; Rodentia; Sciuridae. The record is from Rfam by way of RNAcentral.